GUGUGUACUGUCGCAGAAACACAGUGUAGGUCAUUAGAACAAGCUGCCAACUUAGCGUAGUAUUGCAUAAACGUUUUAGUCAUUCAAUUAUUGUGAGCAUUUAGCAAAUAAUUCCGUUCACUUUUGUUUCUCAGACAAUCGUAGUAUCUGUGUUACGGUGCCCCUUCCCCCUACACGUGGCUCAAACAAAGCGUUCAAUCAAGUAAGACUGUUCCAAUAUUCCCGGACUACAUCAGUGGAUGAAAUAAAGCAUGGAUUGUUUCACCUGCUAUGAAUUCUUAAUCUCUCCAUGCUGAAAAAAGAGUGAGUGCUACUAGAACAUUUUAUUGUGUCUUUAUCGGGCUUAAGUUAUCACCACUUAGCUUAAACUCAAAUCGCACAACCAUAAGUCUAGCUGUUCAAGUACAUUGUGAUUCCAUUGAAGCCAUCUGUGCAUAUGAAGUAAACACAAACGCUCAGUGCCAGCAACCACUACGUUCAUAAACUGCUAGCCACAAUGUUUUGCCUGUAAAAACAAUAAUGCCAAUUUCCAGGCAAUGAGAGAAUCACCAUGGGUCUUAGUUUCAUAUCAGAGAAUCCAUACAACACAAGAAAACAAAAUUAGACUAGAAGCACUAGAAUUUCUUCAACAUGCCUGUAGAUCUUGGCAAUUCAAUCUGAUCACGUGGCCUGAAACUCCUGUACACAUUUUCCCAAAAUGUCGUCUCUUGCUUCACGUACGUUCGUUUCGUCACAUGCAGCUAAAUACUUCAGAACAAAAAAAGUAGUUAUGUUGGUCAACUCUUUAACCCUAAAGUUUACACAUUAAGCCUGGGUUUUUAGGUUUUUAGGUUGUAGCUUUCAUCACAUGCAGAAACACUCCAUGACAAUUUGAAGUGCCGGAGUGUCUGUUCGUGAGUGACGAAAUACCGCUAUUUCUAUUUGCUUUUCAGACAGGACAGGAAUGUGUUGCUGACAGUGUUUUUCGAGGUCUGAGCCUUCCUUUCUGUUUUUUUCUUUUACAUUUAGAAAUGAUAAGUUAUUUCCACGCCAUUCAACCAACCUGAAGCGAAUCAUUCUUAAUCAAGUAAUAUGUCGAAGAUCUGGCCUUUCUUAAGGUGAUCGCUGCUGUGUCAUGAAAAUGCGUCUUUGAGACUAUAUUGCAAGACUAAAAUGUGAUGAAAACAGGAAAUCUGAAAUGGAAAUAAUUUACUUGUAAGAUAAACCAAAUAGGUUAGCAUUUUGUUCUUGAUGUUAAAGACAAGUGACUUCUUAUUUCGUGGUUCAAAUUAAGAUAGCUUUUGUGAAAACAUUUUUGUCAGUUUCUAAAGAGUUUUAACUUUUUAUAUUGAACUGAUAUUACCUUCAUUCUUAAAAACUUGAAAUGAAAUCUUCAUUAUGUGAUGAUCUCUGGUCAUCUUCUUGAUUUUGUUUUCUCUAGUUUAGUGUACAGUACAUUUGAAGUAAAUUUUUUUUAUACAAAAAAUCGCAAAACAAAUCACAGGAAAUAUUUGCAACUGAUGGGUAACUUUAGCUUACCCAUGUAAUCUCAUUGGAUAAAUGAGAGGAUAUUCUCUGUAAUAUCUCCUAUCUCCAUA
Molecule: long non-coding RNA, 1577 nt
Organism: Daphnia pulicaria
Lineage: Eukaryota; Metazoa; Arthropoda; Branchiopoda; Diplostraca; Daphniidae
Exons: 6
Source: RefSeq, a predicted model, not a curated record